RNAcentral lists this ribosomal RNA (270 nucleotides) under uncultured bacterium. RNAcentral's name for it is "partial 16S ribosomal RNA". It matches the Rfam family "Bacterial small subunit ribosomal RNA", at positions 524 to 796 of the family's 1533-position model. The record is from RNAcentral.
UACGUAGGUGGCAAGCGUUGUCCGGAAUUAUUGGGCGUAAAGCGCGCGCAGGCGGUCCUUUAAGUCUGAUGUGAAAGCCCACGGCUCAACCGUGGAGGGUCAUUGGAAACUGGGGGACUUGAGUGCAGAAGAGGAAAGCGGAAUUCCACGUGUAGCGGUGAAAUGCGUAGAGAUGUGGAGGAACACCAGUGGCGAAGGCGGCUUUCUGGUCUGUAACUGACGCUGAGGCGCGAAAGCGUGGGGAGCAAACAGGAUGCGAAAACCGAGUCC